This 239-nucleotide ribosomal RNA is filed under the name Methylobacterium sp. 13MFTsu3.1M2. RNAcentral describes it as "16S rRNA. Bacterial SSU". It matches the Rfam family "Bacterial small subunit ribosomal RNA", at positions 19 to 286 of the family's 1533-position model. Lineage: Bacteria; Pseudomonadati; Pseudomonadota; Alphaproteobacteria; Hyphomicrobiales; Methylobacteriaceae. The record is from RNAcentral.
CUGGCUCAGAGCGAACGCUGGCGGCAGGCUUAACACAUGCAAGUCGAGCGGGCCCUUCGGGGUCAGCGGCGGACGGGUGAGUAACGCGUGGGAACGUGCCUUCUGGUUCGGAAUAACCCUGGGAAACUAGGGCUAAUACCGGAUACGCCCUUAUGGGGAAAGGUUUACUGCCGGAAGAUCGGCCCGCGUCUGAUUAGCUAGUUGGUGGGGUAACGGCCUACCAAGGCGACGAUCAGUAG